AAUGUACUCUUUAUGAGGCUUUGCGCUGCCCUUGUGGCAGCUAGCCGAAGGUUUCGCAAGAAGCCGAUGUCAAUUUGAAUCCUUUUUAAAAUACGACUGAUCAAAACUGCAGAUAGAAAUAUCUGCAUGCAAUUGAAAUACAACUUUCAACAGUGGAUGUCUAGGCUCGCACACCGAUGAAGAACGCUGCGAACUGCGAUACGUAAUGCGAAUUGCAGAAUUCAGUGAGUCAUCAAAAUUUUGAACGCAUAUUGCACUUCCGGGUUAGUCCUGGGAGUAUGUUUGUAUCAGUGUCCGUGAACACAAACUUGUUUCAUUUCUUGAUUGGGAUGGAGCAGACUGUGAAGGUCUUGUAAUUACAAGUCCUUUUAAACGACGGUACCUAUGCGUCCUAGUGAGAUGUAUUAUUUAAAGGUAUGCCUGCGCUCCUUUCGAAAGUCUUGUGUGGCGGCACACAGCACUCAAAGAGAGAGCAAAUCGCGGUAGUUUUGCUUGUACUUCGGUACGAGUGGACACAUAUUGCUUUUUGUGAUUUCUGCGAGUCUGUUGUCAAAGUACAAGGCACGUAAGGAGAGUUGGUAUGCUGGUGCAUUUCUUGGCGUAUGGAGGCAAAUUGGGAAUUCAAUCCA
This 629-nucleotide unclassified non-coding RNA is filed under the name Saprolegnia sp. BMF11. Its description in RNAcentral is "sequence contains ITS1, 5.8S rRNA gene, ITS2". The stretch from base 142 to 296 matches the Rfam family "5.8S ribosomal RNA". Lineage: Eukaryota; Oomycota; Saprolegniomycetes; Saprolegniales; Saprolegniaceae. The record is from RNAcentral.